RNAcentral lists this long non-coding RNA (214 nucleotides) under Panax ginseng (ginseng). Its description in RNAcentral is "long non-coding RNA (PGIN_LNC006250)". The record is from RNAcentral. Lineage: Eukaryota; Viridiplantae; Streptophyta; Magnoliopsida; Apiales; Araliaceae.
UCCAACUGUCAUUGUACUUAAAUAAGAUAAAAAUGAGGCCUUAAAUUUUUUUGUGGUUCAAGUAAAGAACCAUCUCCUUGGAUGAUAUACCCCUCAUAAUUGUAUAUUUUCAUAUAGCACAAGGAGUCGGUUAAAAGUUAAUACAUAUAAAAUAUUGUCAAGCAAUAGUCGGAGAGAUAUGUGACUGUUUCAAGGAUAUGAAUGUGCUUCAAAG